CGCUCUUUGUAAAUUAAACAUAAAGAGUCCGACCUGCCCAGUGAUUUUUUUCAACGGCCGCAGUAUACUAACUGUGCUAAGGUAGCAUAAUAAUUUGUUCUAUAAUUGAGGACUGGAAUGAAUGGUUUCACAAGAGCAAAGCUGUCUCUUUCAUUAUUUAGUAGAAUUUUACUUUCAGGUGAAGAGGCCUGAAUAAAAUUAAAAGACAAGAAGACCCUAUCGAGCUUAAAAAAAAUUAAAGGACUAAACUAAUAAUAAUUUAAAAAAUAACCUCUAAAAAUUUUGGUUGGGGCGACCAAGGAACAAAAAAAACUUCCUUAACAAAUAUUAUUCAAAACCUGCUUGUAUUGAUCCAAAAUUUUUGAUUCAUGGAAAUAGUUACCGUAGGGAUAACAGCAUUAUCUUCUUUGAGAGCUCUAAUCGAAAAGAAGGUUUGUGACCUCGAUGUUGGACCAGAAUAUCCUAAAGAUGCAGAAGUCUUUAAGGGUUGGUCUGUUCGACCAUUAAAAUUCU
RNAcentral lists this ribosomal RNA (513 nucleotides) under Bostrycapulus odites. Its description in RNAcentral is "partial 16S ribosomal RNA". It matches the Rfam family "Bacterial large subunit ribosomal RNA", at positions 1817 to 2597 of the family's 2925-position model. Lineage: Eukaryota; Metazoa; Mollusca; Gastropoda; Littorinimorpha; Calyptraeidae. The record is from RNAcentral.